Long non-coding RNA from Magnolia sinica, 694 nucleotides. RefSeq lists it as uncharacterized. The transcript has 3 exons. NCBI's taxonomy places the organism in Eukaryota, Viridiplantae, Streptophyta, Magnoliopsida, Magnoliales, Magnoliaceae. The record is from RefSeq and is a predicted model, not a curated record.
AAUCUUAUUGCAAUGUUGCAACCUGGGUGAUUGACUAAAUGGCCAUAUUUAGGGAUGCAUCUCCUUCAUGAGAACUAGUUUAUCUGAGAAAAUGGUCCUUGAUGGAGUGCAAUGGCAGAAAAGGAUUCGUGUAGCUGAUUCCAGUUAGUUGGUCUUUAGAUGAUGCUAAUUUUCUUGGUGAGAACUGCAUAGUGGAUUUUUUUAUUAGUGGUCAUUGCAUUCGUUUUUUUAAAUGGCAUUAAAUCACGCCAGUAUUUAUUUCUUUUAGAUUGAAUGGCAAAAUCAUUUUUAGCAGUUGAAGUUCUGUGAUAUUUGGUGGAGGUAUCCAGAAAUGGCCUCUUAUGAUAUUUAUGUCACUCAACAUUAAUUUGUUAUAGGCUAUGGUGAGUUUAUUGGAAAACAAGAUUGAAGAAAUGCAAUUGGAAGAGAUGCAGCUUCAAUUCAAAGAAACUGAAAAGAUGCUAGUGAAGGAACAAGAGGCUGUGAAAGAAGCAACAAACCAAAUUCCUGUCAUACAGGAGGUCCCAGUCAUUAAUAGUGUGUUGUUGGAUAAAUAGACUUUUGAAAAUGAACAACUGAAGGAACUGCAUACAAGAACAUAGGUUCUAGCAGCUCAAAGGUGCUACUAAAGGGAAUGGAUUACAGAGAACUUGAAGUCUUGAACGCGGAUAAAGGAGAUAAACUAGAAAGCUCA